Molecule: non-coding RNA, 1368 nt
Organism: Arachis ipaensis
Lineage: Eukaryota; Viridiplantae; Streptophyta; Magnoliopsida; Fabales; Fabaceae
Source: RefSeq, a predicted model, not a curated record
GUGUUGGAUUUAAUUUGGGUUUCAAUUAUUAUAUUAUUCCCAAUUUUAUUCGAAACUACCAAAUUACCCCUAACCCUAAUUUUCAAAAUAAGGAAACCCUAACCCAGUAACCCGUUAACCGACCCGGUUCCCUUUUUGCCCACACUUAGCUCCCUAGCCCUCAGCAGCCGAAACCCUUCCCCCCAAAGCAACAGCACACAAAGUUUCCUUUGACUCCCUGAAAGAAAGAAACGAAGAAAGGGAGGAGGGAAACAAGAGAUCAGAGAAGUGGAGAGAGGAAGAGGAAGGACGGCGCCGGCGGGCAUCACUGCCGCCGCGCCGUCGUGUCGCCGUCGAAGGAGAGGAAGCCAUGGACCGAAGUCAUGGGUGGAAGAGAGAGCGCGAGACAGAGCCGCAACUGCUGGGUUGCCGUCCAGCCUCACCCCACCUUCCAGCCUUCAUCACCACCGCGUGCACGCCGUGCCGCCGCCUCUGUUCGUCACACCAUCACUCCUAGCCGCGCCGUCGCCAAGGAAUCAUCGUUGUCGAGGGAUCCCAGAGGAGAGAAACUGCGCGACAUUGAGGGAGGAAAGCGCGGGUCAGUGACGCGAGGAGCACGACCCGUUGCGCCGCCGUGUGCUAACGCCGUCGUCCUCACCGUGCCGCCAUCACCUUUGCCACCGAGACAGUCUCCGUCAUUUAUGGUAGAGCAGAGAGGGAGAGCUCGGGAGCAGAGCAGAUGCGAGAGAUCUGGGGCUGAGCUGGGAGUCCAGCCACCGCACCCGACCGUGCUUGCGUCGCCGGCGCCGCCUCCGUUGGAACCGCCGUGCUGCGCGAAGCUAACGCUUCCUCCGUCGGAAAAAGCCGCCAUUAGAACCCUUACUGAUUCGGUGAGCCUUUCCCCUGUUUCUGGUUCUGUCACAGCCUUUCUUGGAGGAGAAGUCAGUCGUGCCGCCAUGCCUGGCAGCCGGAAAACGCCAUUUACCGUCACCGAAAUACACUGCCGUGGUCAUCUGAGUCACGUGGAGGGAGGAAGGGCCGCUGGGUGUCGCCGUACCUUGCCUCCGCCGCCGAAAACAGCCGUUGAGUCCUCAGUAUCGGGUCGUGUAUCCAUGCUUGCCUUUCGUGCUCGGUGUUCGCAGCUGCCUUUGUCAUUUCAGUAAUGUUGCGAUGGUUAUUGUGAAAGUGGCUGGGAGCUGAGGUUUUGGUUGCCGUCGGUUCGGGUUGAGGCGGAAAGGACCCUGUGAGGCAUUUGGGUUAUGGAUUUGCAUUUCGAGGUGUUAGCUUUACAAGCCGAACUCUCAUUCUUACAAAAUCAUCUUGCUACAAUGGAGAUACGCCAACCGCCACCAAUUCCUCCAACGCAAGGAGUGCCGACAUCAACUGUUU